Molecule: long non-coding RNA, 1318 nt
Filed under: Olea europaea (common olive)
Lineage: Eukaryota; Viridiplantae; Streptophyta; Magnoliopsida; Lamiales; Oleaceae
Description: long non-coding RNA (OEUR_LNC005394)
Source: RNAcentral
GUGCAAGCUUCAAGACCUUUUAGAGAUUCCAAGCAGGGCAAGAACUCUUCCAUUUUUUGCACUGCCUCUGUCAGUGCGCCAACAGCGAAAAGUUGUGGUUGUGGUGCCUCCGUUACAUAACUUGGCCUCGACAUAACAGUCGUUGCCAUGACCAUAAACACCACCAAGACAACUUUAGAUGCCAUAAUAUUUAAUAAAUUUUUACUUUUUAAGAAUGUUUAUANAAAGAACCCGAAUCAUUAAACAAUGAAUAAAAUUUGGAUUAAAGCCUUCAAAUCUGGAUCCAAGGAUGAAUUCUUCAUUAUCCGAUGUAAAUUCUCUCUAUUUUCUCCUAAAAUUUGUCUCUCUUUGUUCUGGACGCUCUCUUAUUUAUAGGAUGCCGAGAGAUUGCUUACCAAAAUAAAAUAAGGAAAGAGUUUUUAUCUCAUUUUACACAAAGGCGUGCCUAUGUUGUUUUAGAGUACAAUGGACAAAAUUUUUCUUCGUUAUAAAUUUUCAAUGUUGUCCACUACGCAUGUCCAUAACAAACGUGACAUCCAUGGAUAACAGUUUGUACUUAUGUCAACCGGAUAUAUUGAAAAAUAUCAAAAGAUAUUCCUGCAAAAAUUUGAACAUUCUUCAUUGAAUCGCAAAAUGUUCUAAUUAUUAUUAAAUUUGCAGCAGCUAAAACAAAAUAUAAAAUGUUGUCACAACUGAGUUUUUCAUUUUGCUUUCUUCAUGAUUAGACUUAAACAAGCAAAAUUCCUGUAGUCUGUCAUCCCUUCAAACAUAUAUAGCUCAGAUGCUGGUUGGCGGUUCAGGGGCUAUAAUGCAUUUUUCAACAACGACGGGCAAAUACACCUGGGAUAUAGGAAACCCUUCUCCCACGCAGCUUUUGGCAAAUUGAUUGACAGCUUGGCAGCACGAAGUGUCUAGUGGAAGUCCAAACACUGCUUUAAAAAUGUUCACUGUGCAAGCUUCAAGACCUUUUAGAGAUUCCAAGCAGGGCAAGAACUCUUCCAUUUUUUGCACUGCCUCUGUCAGUGCGCCAACAGCGGAAAGUUGUGGUUGUGGUGCCUCCGUUACAUAACUUGGCCUCGACAUAACAGACGUUGCCAUGACCAUAAACACCACCAAGACAACUUUAGAUGCCAUAAUAUUUAAUAAAUUUUUACUUUUUAAGAAUGUUUAUAUACGGAAGUGCAUGGAAAUGCUUCCAAACUUGGGCCACUUAUAUAUGAGAUUUAUAAUAAUUAAACGCAUUUAGUCUCUAUUUUAAUCCUCUUAACGUUUUCUUGAAUGUUCAUUUAUUUGUAGUAUUAACCAAAGAUAUUCAAUA